CUGGCAGCCAGAGGCUUGGAUGGAUACACUCUUGGCUGGACAUGACUCCUCAGCCAGCUGACAGUAUUGCCUCAGGAACUGACAGCUCCCACCAGGAGACUGCUGUCAUGGGAAGGCAAGGUGGGAGGAUUCUUUUACUAACGGGAUCUACAGUGAAAGAUUUUGAAAACAGAAACCAAAGUACAAAACAAAAGAGAUCAACCGAUUCCCGGGAGAAGAUAACGAGUGAAAACAUUUCAUCAGAUUAAGAUUUUAGUUAGUGAUUAUAUAUUUUACACAGCCUCUUAAAACCUGUAUGUAUUGAUCGGGGCAAAGCUUUAAUAUUUGUCAAUACUGUCUGAUUUAAUAGCUCACUCAUCUACUUUUUCUUUACUUGCACAGGAGUAUCACUGCCAAAUAUAUUCACUAAGUCCCUGUAAACCUUCUUUCUGUAAACACCUACACUUUAAGUGUGAUGAGAUCUCAAACUAUGUCACCAAAUGUAAGUUAUAAAAUAUAAACCUCAUUCACUUUUUAAUAGCAUAGAGAAAGUUAUAAACAGCAACAACAAAAAUGGACAUUCAGUGUCAUACAUGUCAUUUUUUCUAAACAGCUGAUAUCUGGAGGAGUGGGAAAAUGAAAAUGUGCAUCCAUUUUUUAAUUACAAAAAUAAAGAACAAGUUAACGUCUACUGUCAUUUGUAACCCAGGGAUUCUGUUCAGAAACAGAAAGGGUGUUUCAGAAGCUACUAGAGUUCUCUAAAAAGUUAUUACUAUGGAAGUGCAUCUCUCUUGUGAUACUGUAAGUAAGUGCUAAAUAUGAGAUAAAUUGGGAUGUUAAUGUAACAGUAAUGAAUUUACAAUAAUACAUGCUUGAAUAUACUUAUCAGAAUAGAGAAAUAAUUUAUAAAUACUAGA
This is a long non-coding RNA of Centrocercus urophasianus (Greater sage-grouse), 896 nucleotides long. RefSeq lists it as uncharacterized. The record is from RefSeq and is a predicted model, not a curated record. The transcript has 3 exons. Lineage: Eukaryota; Metazoa; Chordata; Aves; Galliformes; Phasianidae.